AUUGAACGCUGGCGGCAUGCCUUACACAUGCAAGUCGAACGGUAACAGGUUAAGCUGACGAGUGGCGAACGGGUGAGUAAUACAUCGGAACGUGCCCAGUAGUGGGGGAUAGCCCGGCGAAAGCCGGAUUAAUACCGCAUACGACCUAAGGGUGAAAGGGGGGGAUCGCAAGACCUCUCGCUAUUGGAGCGGCCGAUGUCAGAUUAGCUAGUUGGUGGGGUAAAAGCUCACCAAGGCGACGAUCUGUAGCUGGUCUGAGAGGACGACCAGCCACACUGGGACUGAGACACGGCCCAGACUCCUACGGGAGGUAGCAGUGGGGAAUUUUGGACAAAGGGCGCAAGCCUGAUCCAGCCAUGCCGCGUGCGGGAAGAAGGCCUUCGGGUUGUAAACCGCUUUUGUCAGGGAAGAAAUCCUUUGGGUUAAUACCUCGGGGGGAUGACGGUACCUGAAGAAUAAGCACCGGCUAACUACGUG
This 477-nucleotide ribosomal RNA is filed under the name uncultured bacterium. Its description in RNAcentral is "partial 16S ribosomal RNA". It matches the Rfam family "Bacterial small subunit ribosomal RNA", at positions 30 to 507 of the family's 1533-position model. The record is from RNAcentral.